This 492-nucleotide ribosomal RNA is filed under the name uncultured bacterium. Its description in RNAcentral is "partial 16S ribosomal RNA". It matches the Rfam family "Bacterial small subunit ribosomal RNA", at positions 29 to 507 of the family's 1533-position model. The record is from RNAcentral.
AGUGAACGCUGGCGGUAGGCCUAACACAUGCAAGUCGAACGGCAGCACAGUAAGAGCUUGCUCUUACGGGUGGCGAGUGGCGGACGGGUGAGGAAUACAUCGGAAUCUACUUUUUCGUGGGGGAUAACGUAGGGAAACUUAUGCUAAUACCGCAUACGACCUACGGGUGAAAGCAGGGGUUCUUCGGACCUUGCGCGAUUGAAUGAGCCGAUGUCGGAUUAGCUAGUUGGCGGGGUAAAGGCCCACCAAGGCGACGAUCCGUAGCUGGUCUGAGAGGAUGAUCAGCCACACUGGAACUGAGACACGGUCCAGACUCCUACGGGAGGCAGCAGUGGGGAAUAUUGGACAAUGGGCGCAAGCCUGAUCCAGCCAUACCGCGUGGGUGAAGAAGGCCUUCGGGUUGUAAAGCCCUUUUGUUGGGAAAGAAAAGCAGCAGGUUAAUACCCCGCUGUUCUGACGGUACCCAAAGAAUAAGCACCGGCUAACUUCGUG